Molecule: ribosomal RNA, 301 nt
Filed under: uncultured bacterium
Lineage: Bacteria
Description: partial 16S ribosomal RNA
Rfam family: Bacterial small subunit ribosomal RNA
Source: RNAcentral
CAGUCGCCACGGGAAUACGAAGGGGGCUAGCGUUGCUCGGAAUGACUGGGCGUAAAGGGCGCGUAGGCGGUUUGUACAGUUGGAUGUGAAAUUCCUGGGCUUAACCUGGGGGCUGCAUUCAAUACGUGCAGGCUUGAGUGGGGAAGAGGGUCGUGGAAUUCCCAGUGUAGAGGUGAAACUCGUAGAUAUUGGGAAGAACACCGGUGGCGAAGGCGGCUCACUGGCCCGGUACUGACGCUGAGGCACAAAAGCGUGGGGAGCAAACAGGAUUAGAUACCCCAGUAGUCCCUGUCUCUUAUAC